UACACAUGCAAGUCGAACGGCAGCAUGAUCUAGCUUGCUAGAUUGAUGGCGAGUGGCGAACGGGUGAGUAAUACAUCGGAACGUGCCCUGUAGUGGGGGAUAACUAGUCGAAAGAUUAGCUAAUACCGCAUACGACCUGAGGGUGAAAGUGGGGGACCGCAAGGCCUCAUGCUAUAGGAGCGGCCGAUGUCUGAUUAGCUAGUUGGUGAGGUAAAGGCCCACCAAGGCGACGAUCAGUAGCUGGUCUGAGAGGACGAUCAGCCACACUGGGACUGAGACACGGCCCAGACUCCUACGGGAGGCAGCAGUGGGGAAUUUUGGACAAUGGGGGCAACCCUGAUCCAGCAAUGCCGCGUGUGUGAAGAAGGCCUUCGGGUUGUAAAGCACUUUUGUCCGGAAAGAAAUCGCACUUACUAAUAUUAGGUGUGGAUGACGGUACCGGAAGAAUAAGGACCGGCUAACUACGUGCCAGCAGCCGCGGUAAUACGUAGGGUCCAAGCGUUAAUCGGAAUUACUGGGCGUAAAGCGUGCGCAGGCGGUUGUGCAAGACCGAUGUGAAAUCCCCGGGCUUAACCUGGGAAUUGCAUUGGUGACUGCACGGCUAGAGUGUGUCAGAGGGGGGUAGAAUUCCACGUGUAGCAGUGAAAUGCGUAGAGAUGUGGAGGAAUACCGAUGGCGAAGGCAGCCCCCUGGGAUAACACUGACGCUCAUGCACGAAAGCGUGGGGAGCAAACAGGAUUAGAUACCCUGGUAGUCCACGCCCUAAACGAUGUCAACUAGUUGUUGGGGAUUCAUUUCCUUANUAACGUANCNNCGCGUGAAGUUGACCGCCUGGGGAGUACGGUCGCAAGAUUAAAACUCAAAGGAAUUGA
RNAcentral lists this ribosomal RNA (872 nucleotides) under uncultured bacterium. Its description in RNAcentral is "bacterial SSU rRNA". It matches the Rfam family "Bacterial small subunit ribosomal RNA", at positions 50 to 913 of the family's 1533-position model. The record is from RNAcentral.